This is a long non-coding RNA of Macrobrachium nipponense, 679 nucleotides long. RefSeq lists it as uncharacterized. NCBI's taxonomy places the organism in Eukaryota, Metazoa, Arthropoda, Malacostraca, Decapoda, Palaemonidae. The transcript is spliced from 3 exons. The record is from RefSeq and is a predicted model, not a curated record.
UGGUAAGUUUGUAAAUGAUUGUUUUAUUUUUAACUUGCAUUUUUCGUAUUGAAAUUUUUUUUGUUUACAUAAAAUGAUGACAAUUCCUUAAUGACCUGUUAAAAAUUAAGAUGGUUUGGGUCGUUGAAGAUAUUGCUGCUCGUUAUACAUUUCUUACAGAGAGGAGAAGUGGACGGCUUUUAAUGAAAAUGAAGGUAGUUCUUAGCCAUUUUCACCAGUGACAACAUUGGAUUUACUUACCUCUUUAUCGUCAUGGUGAAAAAAUAAGUGAUCGCUACCAUGGAUCCGCAUCUUACGUUGCCUUCUACUUGGAAGCCUUAUCAAGAGCCAGCACAGCAAUUGUGAUUUGUUGCAUUUACAAACAGCAUACACGGACAGUAUGGGUUGUGAGGUGGUUAUUCGUUCGGCCUUACUGUAAAUUUGGCUUGUUGUAUACAAGUAAUAUACUUAAUACGCAAAGUGGACCAUUGCCUUUAGGGGUUCUUGAGAAUGGUAAUUGGAAGUUGGAGAUGCUUGACCAUCGCUUUGACAUCCAUUUAAGGCGAUCAUCUUCGACAGCAGCAACAACAGCAUUGGGUUUAAUUUGAGCAGCAAUACAUGAAACCAUUUUAUUAUAUCUUAUUCAAGUUCAUAAUUUUAUGAAGGUUUCAUUAAAAUAAGAAAAUUACUCUUUGUAUUA